RNAcentral lists this long non-coding RNA (560 nucleotides) under Olea europaea (common olive). RNAcentral's name for it is "long non-coding RNA (OEUR_LNC006002)". The record is from RNAcentral. Lineage: Eukaryota; Viridiplantae; Streptophyta; Magnoliopsida; Lamiales; Oleaceae.
GAUUAUCCAUGUGCGCCUGCAUAUCGGGUUUAUAUAACAUUCAUUGCAACCAACAACAAUGACAUGAACGAGCUAGGCAAGCAAAAGUGUAAGUCAAUUUGGACCUAUUUAUACAAAAAUCAUCGCAACCAAUAACAUAAAAUUUGUUCAUACAACGUUCACCCCUUUCAAGAACCCUACGUGAACUCCAAGUUGAGAUGCAGUCACCGUGGAAGGGGUUAAGGCAUCUUCAUCCACUGUCUUCUGCACGUCAAUAACCAAAAACGAUAUAAUGAGAUCAAAGUUAUCAUGGAAGUUAAUUUGGUAAACUCAAAUAUAUAGCACUUCCGACAAGAACACUGAACUGAACAAAUAACGACAUGAUGGUGCUCUUAUAUACAUAAAGAAGAAAAAACAUCAGCAAACUAGAAAGUACUCCACAAGACUGCAAUGCUGAAGUAUAAUGAAAUCCAUAAUCCAAAGCAAAGAGUGGAAGCUAAAAUUUAAACUUCUAACCUUUGUUACUCAAAAUUGGAGUGCUAAAUUUGACAAGCCUCAUGAAAUAUAUAGAUACAUUCCCA